Molecule: ribosomal RNA, 421 nt
Filed under: uncultured bacterium
Lineage: Bacteria
Description: bacterial SSU rRNA
Rfam family: Bacterial small subunit ribosomal RNA
Source: RNAcentral
AGGGAAUAUUGGGCAAUGGAGGCAACUCUGACCCAGCCAUGCCGCGUGCAGGAAGACGGCCCUCUGGGUUGUAAACUGCUUUUGAAUGGGAAGAAUGUGUGGCUUGCGAGCUAUAAUGACGGUACCAUUAGAAUAAGCCACGGCUAACUACGUGCCAGCAGCCGCGGUAAUACGUAGGUGGCGAGCGUUAUCCGGAUUUAUUGGGUUUAAAGGGUGCGUAGGCGGCUUAAUAAGUCGGUGGUAAAAGGUAGCAGCUUAACUGUUUUACAUGCCAUCGAUACUGUUGAGCUUGAGUUAUUUGGAGGCAGCUAGAAUUUCCGGUGUAGCGGUGAAAUGCAUAGAUACCGGAAGGAAUACCGAUUGCGAAGGCAGGUUGCUACGAAUAUACUGACGCUGAUGCACGAAAGCGUGGGGAUCAAAC